This is a long non-coding RNA of Planococcus citri (citrus mealybug), 929 nucleotides long. RefSeq lists it as uncharacterized. The transcript has 2 exons. The record is from RefSeq and is a predicted model, not a curated record. Lineage: Eukaryota; Metazoa; Arthropoda; Insecta; Hemiptera; Pseudococcidae.
UUUCAAUCAAAACUAGAUCGAUUGGUUCUCUGUUAUUUUAUAAUAUUUUUCUGAAGUGGAUUAUUGAACUGCAAACUAUUUUUUGAACAUUUUUGUAUGUGCUUGAGAAUGUAUUCAUUGUGUAUGUUGGUCAGAUAACACUAACAGUACUAUAGUAUCUAGUUCACAAUACUGGUUAAAUCAAGCAGCCAGCUAUCCAUUGUGAAGGGUUGUUCAUUAGUCUGGCUGGGUCAGAGAAUUCAGCUCUCAACAGGGAAGACAACGCGUAAUACUGAAUUGAAAUGGAUAUGUUUUCCUUUAUCAUCUCAUUAUCAGUGGCUGCACUGUAUUCGAGUUAUUACUGGACUUUCGCAGUAGGCCCCAACUUUGAAUAUGUGCUGAGAGGUAGAAUUUGGGAUGUACUGUUUCAAGAUGUAGCCAGAGAUAAACACAUUGAGAAAGUCAAGUGUUAUGUAGCUGUGCAUCAUAUUGAUUCAAAUUCAAAUUAUUCGAAAUUUAGUUUUGUAUUUCAUGAAAGUUAUAAUUAUCCACUUUGUCAGUUUGCGGAAAAACAGAUGAGAAAAAAUAAAACUAUGCAUAUGUAUGCAAGAAAGGGUACUGGUCCAACGGAUUUAAAGUUUCCCAAUCCUGUUAUAGUUGGUCUCGAGUUAGGUAACACAGGUGUUAGGUUUGCAGAUUAAUUGUGAUUUCUUGUACUCAAGAAUAAUGAACAUUUUGAAGCAUGGAACGGGGAAUUGAAUACAAUUUCAGAAAAUUGAUCAGUCAUUCAUUUAUGUACAUAUCUAUAUGAUUGAAAUAUGCAAAGUCCAUUCAUUUGUUAUUGAAGUAUAUUGUGUAGUCUAUUCAUUUGUUUACAUUAUAAAAACAAAUUGUGAUUGAAAUGGUGCUUGAUUUUGUUUUUAAUUUUUAUUAAACUGAGUACAUAUUUC